Molecule: ribosomal RNA, 472 nt
Filed under: uncultured bacterium
Lineage: Bacteria
Description: bacterial SSU rRNA
Rfam family: Bacterial small subunit ribosomal RNA
Source: RNAcentral
UGGGGAAUCUUGGACAAUGGGCGAAAGCCUGAUCCAGCCAUGCCGCGUGUGUGAAGAAGGUCUUCGGAUUGUAAAGCACUUUAAGUUGGGAGGAAGGGCAGUAACCUAAUACGUUUCUGUCUUGACGUUACCGACAGAAUAAGCACCGGCUAACUCUGUGCCAGCAGCCGCGGUAAUACAGAGGGUGCAAGCGUUAAUCGGAAUUACUGGGCGUAAAGCGCGCGUAGGUGGUUUGUUAAGUUGGAUGUGAAAUCCCCGGGCUCAACCUGGGAACUGCAUUCAAAACUGACAAGCUAGAGUAUGGUAGAGGGUGGUGGAAUUUCCUGUGUAGCGGUGAAAUGCGUAGAUAUAGGAAGGAACACCAGUGGCGAAGGCGACCACCUGGACUGAUACUGACACUGAGGUGCGAAAGCGUGGGGAGCAAACAGGAUUAGAUACCCCGGUAGUCCCUGAGCGGGCUGGCAAGGCGCAU